UACGGAGGGGGCAAGCGUUGUUCGGAGUUACUGGGCGUAAAGCGCGCGUAGGCGGUGCGGUAAGUCAGGGGUUAAAGGCUGCAGCUCAACUGCAGUAAGGCCUUUGAUACUAUCGCGCUAGAGUACCAGAGAGGAUGGCGGAAUUCCCGGUGUAGCGGUGAAAUGCGUAGAUAUAUGGAGGAACACCGGUGGCGAAGGCGGCCAUCUGGCUGAUAACUGACGCUGAGGUGCGAGAGCGUGGGGAGCAAACAGG
This 253-nucleotide ribosomal RNA is filed under the name uncultured microorganism. Its description in RNAcentral is "partial 16S ribosomal RNA". It matches the Rfam family "Bacterial small subunit ribosomal RNA", at positions 524 to 776 of the family's 1533-position model. The record is from RNAcentral.